This 548-nucleotide ribosomal RNA is filed under the name uncultured bacterium. Its description in RNAcentral is "partial 16S ribosomal RNA". It matches the Rfam family "Bacterial small subunit ribosomal RNA", at positions 355 to 895 of the family's 1533-position model. The record is from RNAcentral.
UGGGGAAUUUUGGACAAUGGGCGCAAGCCUGAUCCAGCCAUGCCGCGUGCGGGAAGAAGGCCUUCGGGUUGUAAACCGCUUUUGUCAGGGAAGAAAUCUUCUGAGUUAAUACCUCGGGAGGAUGACGGUACCUGAAGAAUAAGCACCGGCUAACUACGUGCCAGCAGCCGCGGUAAUACGUAGGGUGCAAGCGUUAAUCGGAAUUACUGGGCGUAAAGCGUGCGCAGGCGGUUUUGUAAGACAGAGGUGAAAUCCCCGGGCUCAACCUGGGAACUGCCUUUGUGACUGCAAGGCUUGAGUGCGGCAGAGGGGGAUGGAAUUCCGCGUGUAGCAGUGAAAUGCGUAGAUAUGCGGAGGAACACCGAUGGCGAAGGCAAUCCCCUGGGCCUGCACUGACGCUCAUGCACGAAAGCGUGGGGAGCAAACAGGAUUAGAUACCCUGGUAGUCCACGCCCUAAACCGAUGUCAACUGGUUGUUGGGAAGGUUCCUUCUCAGUAACGUAGCUAACGCGUGAAGUUGACCGCCUGGGGAGUACGGCCGCAAGGUU